UACGUAGGGGGCAAGCGUUGUCCGGAAUUAUUGGGCGUAAAGCGCGCGUAGGCGGCUACUUAAGUCGGAUGUGAAAGCCCCUGGCUCAACUGGGGAAGUGCACCCGAAACUGAGUAGCUUGAGUGCAAAAGAGGGCCGCGGAAUUCCCGGUGUAGAGGUGAAAUUCGUAGAUAUCGGGAGGAACACCGGUGGCGAAGGCGGCGGCCUGGGUUGACACUGACGCUGAGGCACGAAAGCGUGGGGAGCAAACAGG
RNAcentral lists this ribosomal RNA (253 nucleotides) under uncultured bacterium. Its description in RNAcentral is "partial 16S ribosomal RNA". It matches the Rfam family "Bacterial small subunit ribosomal RNA", at positions 524 to 776 of the family's 1533-position model. The record is from RNAcentral.